GUGAGCGUAGCUCAGUUGGUAGAGUCCAGGAUUGUGAUUCCUGUUGUCGCGGGUUCGAGCCCCGUCGUUCACCCCA
RNAcentral lists this transfer RNA (76 nucleotides) under Crenothrix polyspora. RNAcentral describes it as "tRNA-His". It matches the Rfam family "tRNA". Rfam says of the family: Transfer RNA (tRNA) molecules are approximately 80 nucleotides in length. Their secondary structure includes four short double-helical elements and three loops (D, anti-codon, and T loops). The record is from RNAcentral. Lineage: Bacteria; Pseudomonadati; Pseudomonadota; Gammaproteobacteria; Methylococcales; Crenotrichaceae. RNAcentral also lists the same sequence under 5 other names.